Molecule: ribosomal RNA, 207 nt
Filed under: uncultured bacterium
Lineage: Bacteria
Description: partial 16S ribosomal RNA
Rfam family: Bacterial small subunit ribosomal RNA
Source: RNAcentral
AGUGUAGGCGGAUGAAUAAGAUAGUGGUGAAAUACCUGAGCUCAACUUAGGAAUUGCCAUUAUAACUAUUUAUCUAGAGUGAUAGAGAGGAUAUUGGAAUACCCAGUGUAGAGGUGAAAUUCGUAGAUAUUGGGUAGAACACCAGUGGCGAAGGCGAGUAUCUGGCUAUCAACUGACGCUGAGGCUCGAAAGCAUGGGGAUCAAACA